RNAcentral lists this ribosomal RNA (155 nucleotides) under uncultured bacterium. Its description in RNAcentral is "partial 16S ribosomal RNA". It matches the Rfam family "Bacterial small subunit ribosomal RNA", at positions 355 to 507 of the family's 1533-position model. The record is from RNAcentral.
UGAGGAAUAUUGGUCAAUGGGCGCAAGCCUGAACCAGCCAUGCCGCGUGCGGGAAGACGGUCCUAUGGAUUGUAAACUGCUUUUGUACGGGAAGAAACACUCCUACGUGUAGGAGCUUGACGGUACCGUAAGAAUAAGGAUCGGCUAACUCCGUG